AAGAAGCAGGCUCCCAGCGGAGGAGCCUGAUGUGGGGCUCGAUCCCACAACACCGGGAUCACGCCCUGAGCCGAAGGCAGACGCUUAACCACUGUGCCACCCAGGCGCCCCAUGACAACUUUAAUUUUGAGCGUGGAGUGGGAGCUAGACAGUGGCCAUUAGUUGGUCCUGAGCUCCAUACCACAGGGAAGGGGAUGUGGUAGAGAUAUAAAGGUGUGGGAAUCUUCUCGAGCGUGGUUUUCAGAAGUUUAAACCUCAAGGAACAGGGAGAAGUUUCUGAAGAAUGGCCAGAAACUGCAGGGAGGUGUGAUUUCUCAAGGACCAGAAAAAGAAAACUCUCCAUGAGAGGGUAAGAGGUGAUGAGAGCAGAGAGCCUAUGGCCUGCUGCCCAGGCAGAGCCCCCCAGAGCCUCAUAGAACCCCCACAGAACCCUGCAGGACCCUAGAGAGUGUCCAGUCUCCCGGAGAUGCUGCAGCAGGAAGACGUGGCCACAGCAACUCCCCAAAGGCCUGCACCUCCGUGUCAUCGCAGCAUCAGGGUUGUGGGACUUGAAGGGUUUCAUAGGCGGCACCCUGUGUGAGCAGAUGACACGGUCACCAGAGGGAACCCUGCCCCACAGCAACCUGGCACUGGUGAGACUCCAGAACUGGGGCUGAGCAGGAAGACUCCACUUGCCCUCCUCGUGUCUCCUUGACUCUCACACCAUGAGUGCACCCACAGCACUGCUGACGCCAGGUGUGGGCAGGUUUCCACAGCCAGCAAUUCUCUGAUGCCAGCUGGGUGUCCUACCAUUUAAUGCAGUCCUGACACCUGCUCCCUGGAGACAGCGUCCCAUCUCACACGGUAAGGGCUCGGUCGCACGAGACUGCCCCUACCUCAGAAAUAAGAUAAUAACUU
RNAcentral lists this long non-coding RNA (897 nucleotides) under Ursus maritimus (polar bear). RNAcentral describes it as "lncRNA (ENSUMAG00000000358.1)". Lineage: Eukaryota; Metazoa; Chordata; Mammalia; Carnivora; Ursidae. The record is from RNAcentral.